Molecule: ribosomal RNA, 1262 nt
Filed under: Chryseobacterium sp. StRB288
Lineage: Bacteria; Pseudomonadati; Bacteroidota; Flavobacteriia; Flavobacteriales; Weeksellaceae
Description: bacterial SSU rRNA
Rfam family: Bacterial small subunit ribosomal RNA
Source: RNAcentral
GAGAGCGGCGUACGGGUGCGGAACACGUGUGCAACCUGCCUUUAUCUGGGGGAUAGCCUUUCGAAAGGAAGAUUAAUACCCCAUAAUAUAUUGAAUGGCAUCAUUUGAUAUUGAAAACUCCGGUGGAUAGAGAUGGGCACGCGCAAGAUUAGAUAGUUGGUGAGGUAACGGCUCACCAAGUCAACGAUCUUUAGGGGGCCUGAGAGGGUGAUCCCCCACACUGGUACUGAGACACGGACCAGACUCCUACGGGAGGCAGCAGUGAGGAAUAUUGGACAAUGGGUGAGAGCCUGAUCCAGCCAUCCCGCGUGAAGGACGACGGCCCUAUGGGUUGUAAACUUCUUUUGUAUAGGGAUAAACCUACCCUCGUGAGGGUAGCUGAAGGUACUAUACGAAUAAGCACCGGCUAACUCCGUGCCAGCAGCCGCGGUAAUACGGAGGGUGCAAGCGUUAUCCGGAUUUAUUGGGUUUAAAGGGUCCGUAGGCUGAUCUGUAAGUCAGUGGUGAAAUCUCACAGCUUAACUGUGAAACUGCCAUUGAUACUGCAAGGCUUGAGUGUUGUUGAAGUAGCUGGAAUAAGUAGUGUAGCGGUGAAAUGCAUAGAUAUUACUUAGAACACCAAUUGCGAAGGCAGGUUACUAAGCAACAACUGACGCUGAUGGACGAAAGCGUGGGGAGCGAACAGGAUUAGAUACCCUGGUAGUCCACGCCGUAAACGAUGCUAACUCGUUUUUGGAUUUUCGGAUUCAGAGACUAAGCGAAAGUGAUAAGUUAGCCACCUGGGGAGUACGUUCGCAAGAAUGAAACUCAAAGGAAUUGACGGGGGCCCGCACAAGCGGUGGAUUAUGUGGUUUAAUUCGAUGAUACGCGAGGAACCUUACCAAGGCUUAAAUGGGAAAUGACAGGUUUAGAAAUAGACUUUUCUUCGGACAUUUUUCAAGGUGCUGCAUGGUUGUCGUCAGCUCGUGCCGUGAGGUGUUAGGUUAAGUCCUGCAACGAGCGCAACCCCUGUCACUAGUUGCCAUCAUUAAGUUGGGGACUCUAGUGAGACUGCCUACGCAAGUAGAGAGGAAGGUGGGGAUGACGUCAAAUCAUCACGGCCCUUACGCCUUGGGCCACACACGUAAUACAAUGGCCAGUACAGAGGGCAGCUACACGGUGACGUGAUGCAAAUCUCGAAAGCUGGUCUCAGUUCGGAUUGGAGUCUGCAACUCGACUCUAUGAAGCUGGAAUCGCUAGUAAUCGCGCAUCAGCCAUGGCGC